This 494-nucleotide ribosomal RNA is filed under the name uncultured bacterium. RNAcentral describes it as "partial 16S ribosomal RNA". It matches the Rfam family "Bacterial small subunit ribosomal RNA", at positions 28 to 507 of the family's 1533-position model. The record is from RNAcentral.
GACGAACGCUGGCGGCGUGCUUAACACAUGCAAGUCGAACGGUGAAGCGCCUUCCUUUUUGGUGGGUGUGGAUGAGUGGCGAACGGGUGAGUAGCACGUGAGUAACCUGCCCCCUUCUUCUGGAUAACCGCAUGAAAGUGUGGCUAAUACGGGAUAUUCUGGGUCUGUCGCAUGAUGGGUCUGGGAAAGAUAUUGUUUCGGUGGGGGAUGGGCUCGCGGCCUAUCAGCUUGUUGGUGGGGUGAUGGCCUACCAAGGCGGUGACGGGUAGCCGGCCUGAGAGGGUGGACGGUCACACUGGGACUGAGACACGGCCCAGACUCCUACGGGAGGCAGCAGUGGGGAAUAUGGCACAAUGGGCGAAAGCCUGAUGCAGCGACGCCGCGUGAGGGAUGGAGGCCUUCGGGUUGUGAACCUCUUUCGCCAGUGAAGCAGGCCUGCCUCGUUUGUGGGUGGGUUGACGGUAGCUGGAUAAGAAGCGCCGGCUAACUACGUG